This is a long non-coding RNA of Equus caballus (horse), 2085 nucleotides long. The record is from Ensembl. Lineage: Eukaryota; Metazoa; Chordata; Mammalia; Perissodactyla; Equidae.
GACUCAGACGCUAGGCGGCGCACAGGAAGAACGUCACGCGCUUUGGCGCUGGCGGCGCGCCCAAGCUUCCCUGCGCCUCUCUCGCCCCGCCCUCGGCCCCGCCUCCUCCCAGGAGGGCGGAGAGGCCGGAAGUGGACUCUCUGGCGCUGAGGCUGCUGGGAGAUGUAGUCUCGCCGACCUUCGGUUUGCCUCCCUCCCUCCGCGGGGCUAGCGCUUACUCCUUUGCUUGCUGGCUCGGCUUCUUUCUGUUCGCCUGCGGAGCCCCCGCCUUUCAAACCCCAAUCCUCUGGAACUCCUUGGCCCUGAGACCUUGCGCCGGUCCCAUGAUAAGCAGCAGUCCUGGAUAGUGUUAACUCCGUUAUAUACAUGAAAAAAAUGGAGACCCAUGGCGUUUCAUCUCUUGUCAGUGGGCAUGAAGCUGCUGAGUGGUGGAACUGGAAUCAGACCCAGGCCUUUCUUCCUUCCCAAAGUGCCCCGCACACAGCAGACCCACAGAACGACUGACAUACAUGUGACAGUCAUUGCGGGAUGUCAGUGGUGUUCCCAAAAGAGGUGCCAAGAGCAUUGGCACCUUGUCUGAGGUCUCACAGAUGGGUAGGGCAGUACCAGGCCCAGGGCCUAGCAGUCCUGGCUCCCAGCCUCAGGCCCCUCUCCUGGGCAGGGAAAGAGAUUGCCCAGGCAGAGCUGGAGAUUACACAGCUAAUCCGGGGCUCAGACCUGAGUCCACGGAUCUCUCCUUCUGGGGCAGGAGAAGUGGGGCAGGAUGGAGCCAGAGGGUAGAUUCCUAACUCUUCCCUCCCUAACUAGGUCAAGGGAACAGCAGGCUGUGGGGAGCAGGCAGCCUGGGGAUGCUGCGGAUGGGGGAAGGCUGGGCGUGGGGUGAUGGGAAAUGGAGAGUGAGGAGCAGGACCUCCUGUUCAUCCAGCCCAGGCUCUGUGCCAGGCACUUGCCAUGUGUUAUCCCCUUAAUCUUCCCACAACCCAGGGCGUGGGAGUGAUGAGCCCCUGUUUUCAGAAGAGGACAGAGUGUAUGAGCAACACUGAGUGGCCUGCCCAGGAUGGCACAGCUGCCAGAACUCGGCCUGACGUCUUCUGCAUCCCCCACUCAGUCCCCACCCCUCUGGAGCACCUACUUGCCAGGCUCCUCAGUGUCACCUCCCAGGAAGCGCUCCUCCAAGGUGUCACAGGCCCUGGCUCUCACCUCUCCCUCCGCACCUGUCCCAUUCUGCGCCACCGUCUGCACCUGCCUCCCCCAACAGCCUCCAGGCCAGAAGCCUCGCUGUCCCCACAUCCAUUGAGUCCUGCCAACCCGAGCUUUUUUGAACAGUUCCUGUUCCUGUGCCCUCAGGCCCCGCCCCAUACCCACGAUCUGUCAGCUUUCACCUGGAAGUUUGCAAAGCCUCCUUGAGGUCUCCCAGCCUGAUUCUUGGCCCCUCCAGUCCUUUCUUUGCACGUGGAACAAGUGGGAUUGUUGUAAAGCUCAGAUCUAUUUUACCCCCUCCCCUGCAUAAGACCCUUUGUGGUUCCCUAGAGUCCUCAGGACAAAGCCGGAGCCCCCUGACCUGGCACUCAAGGUCCUGCACAGACGGCUCUGCCCCCUGAAGUGGAGGGAGAACCAUUCCUCUACCCUCUAGGUCCUUCUGGCUUGUCUAAGAAUUAAAUUGACAUGAAACAGAAUAACAGGAGAAAAUCAAACCAGUUUAAUAACAUGUAUACACGGGAGAAACCCAGGAAUACUGAGUAACUCGUCCAAACGGCUGAAGCCACUGCCUUAAAUACCAUCUUCAGCUAAAGACAAAGGAGGAUGUUGGGGGCAGUGGUUUAAGGCUUCGAAGGGGAGGAAGGCAAUUUCCAUGGAGAUGGAAAAGCAAAUGUUUGCUAAACCAAUGUUUGCUGGGCCAUCUAUAGACCAUGUGAGGAGAGACAGAAAGAAAGGGAGAGAGAGACUGAGAACUUUGAUAAAAAUGGGCUUAGCAAGGAUCCUCCUGUCUACCAGACCCAGUUUGUAUUAUGCUAUAGUGAGCUCAUGGUAUCAGCUCCUUCCUGGAACAGGCCUUCUGUCUUAAAUUCUUUUAGGUGGUUAGGG